This 497-nucleotide ribosomal RNA is filed under the name uncultured bacterium. RNAcentral's name for it is "partial 16S ribosomal RNA". It matches the Rfam family "Bacterial small subunit ribosomal RNA", at positions 28 to 507 of the family's 1533-position model. The record is from RNAcentral.
GAUGAACGCUGGCGGCGUGCCUAAUACAUGCAAGUCGAGCGAACAGACGAGGAGCUUGCUCCUCUGACGUUAGCGGCGGGCGGGCGAGUAACACGUGGAUCACCUACCUCUAUUACUUGGAUAACUUCGGAAAACCGGAUCUACUACCAGAUAAUAUAUUCAACCGCAUGGUUCAAUAGUGAUUGGCGGUUUUGCUGUCUCUUAUAGAUGGAUCCGCGCCGCAUUAGCUAGUUGGUAAGGUAACGGCUUACCAAGGCAACGAUGCGUAGCCGACCUGAGAGGGUGAUCGGCCACACUGGAACUGAGACACGGUCCAGACUCCUACGGGAGGCAGCAGUAGGGAAUCUUCCGCAAUGGGCGAAAGCCUGACGGAGCAACGCCGCGUGAGUGAUGAAGGUCUUCGGAUCGUAAAACUCUGUUAUUAGGGAAGAACAAAUGUGUAAGUAACUAUGCACGUCUUGACGGUACCUAAACAGAAAGCAACGGCUAACUACGUG